This 301-nucleotide ribosomal RNA is filed under the name uncultured bacterium. RNAcentral's name for it is "partial 16S ribosomal RNA". It matches the Rfam family "Bacterial small subunit ribosomal RNA", at positions 509 to 807 of the family's 1533-position model. The record is from RNAcentral.
CAGCCGCCACGGUAAUACAGAGGAUGCAAGCGUUAUCCGGAAUGAUUGGGCGUAAAGGGCUCGCAGGCGGUUUCUUAAGUCUGAUGUGAAAGCCCCCGGCUCAACCGGGGAGGGUCAUUGGAAACUGGGAAACUUGAGUGCAGAAGAGGAGAGUGGAAUUCCACGUGUAGCGGUGAAAUGCGUAGAGAUGUGGAGGAACACCAGUGGCGAAGGCGACUCUCUGGUCUGUAACUGACGCUGAGGAGCGAAAGCGUGGGGAGCGAACAGGAUUAGAUACCCCAGUAGUCCCUGUCUCUUAUAC